Non-coding RNA from Lolium perenne, 378 nucleotides. Lineage: Eukaryota; Viridiplantae; Streptophyta; Magnoliopsida; Poales; Poaceae. The record is from RefSeq and is a predicted model, not a curated record.
CCGUUUUACAAAACCUUUUUGAGCAAACUCAACUUUGCGUGAAAGCCCUCUCCAGUACCUUCAUUUUGGCGUUGGUUUCACUUCAAAUGACCUAAUGAAAUUGAAAUGGUUCACAGAUCAAGAUCUGGUCAGAUCUGACUUUGUCGAAUUAAACCAGGAGCUUGGAAACGAAUUUUUGAAUGAAACCAGUUGGGGGUACUUAGCUUGUGCCAUGGUGAUACCGAGAGAGGCAAUUGCUAAGUUGUGAUACUCUCAUACCUUUACUAGAUGCGAACGAUUCCGGAGAAGAUGAAGAAGUGGAUCGGACAAGGAUUUUAUUUAUGUUGUUGGGAUUCUUAUAUUGAUGGAGUUGAAGAAGUCCAGGGACAUUUAAGCUAA